RNAcentral lists this ribosomal RNA (915 nucleotides) under uncultured bacterium. RNAcentral describes it as "bacterial SSU rRNA". It matches the Rfam family "Archaeal small subunit ribosomal RNA", at positions 1 to 922 of the family's 1478-position model. The record is from RNAcentral.
UUCCGGUUGAUCCUGCCGGCGACUACUGCUAUCAGGUUCCGACUAAGCCAUGCGAGUCAAAGGUUCGCAAGACACUGGCGUACUGCUCAGUAACACGCGGACAAUCUAACCCCAGGUGGGGUAUAACCUCGGGAAACUGAGGGUAAUUCCCCAUAGUUAUCAUAUGCUGGAAUGCUUUGAUGAUGAAAGUUCCGACGCCUGAGGAUGAGUCUGCGGCCUAUCAGGUAGUAUGUGGCGUAAAGGACCACAUAGCCUUUGACGGGUACGGGCCCUGAGAGGGGGAGCCCGGAGGUGGACUCUGAGACACUAGUCCAGGCCCUACGGGGCGCAGCAGGCGCGAAACCUGUGCAAUGCGCGUAAGCGCGACACGGGGAGCCUGAGUGCCUUGACUAAGUCAAGGCUUUUCUUAAGCCUAAAAAGCUUGAGGAAUAAGAGCUGGGCAAGACGGGUGCCAGCCGCCGCGGUAACACCCGCAGCUCGAGUGGUAGUCACUUUUAUUGAGCCUAAAGCGUUCGUAGCCGGUUUUGUAAAUCCUCAGACAAAUUCUCCUGCUUAACGGGAGAUACUCUGGAGAGACUGCGAAACUAGGGACCGGGUGAGGUUGAAGGUACUUCUGGGGUAGGGGUAAAAUCCUGUAAUCCUGGAAGGACGACCAGUGGCGAAGGCGUUCAACUAGAACGGAUCCGACGGUGAGGAACGAGGGCUAGGGGAGCAAACCGGAUUAGAUACCCGGGUAGUCCUAGCUGUAAACACUGCCCACUUGGUGUUGCUUCUUCUAUAGGGGGGAGCAGUGCCGGAGCGAAGGUGUUAAGUGGGCCGCUUGGGGAGUAUGGUCGCAAGGCUGAAACUUAAAGGAAUUGGCGGGGGAGCACCGCAACGGGAGGAGCGUGCGGUUUAAUUGGAUUCAACGCCGGA